UAGGGAAUCUUCGGCAAUGGACGAAAGUCUGACCGAGCAACGCCGCGUGAGUGAAGAAGGUUUUCGGAUCGUAAAACUCUGUUGUUAGAGAAGAACAAGUACGUUAGUAACUGAACGUCCCCUGACGGUAUCUAACCAGAAAGCCACGGCUAACUACGUGCCAGCAGCCGCGGUAAUACGUAGGUGGCAAGCGUUGUCCGGAUUUAUUGGGCGUAAAGCGAGCGCAGGCGGUUUCUUAAGUCUGAUGUGAAAGCCCCCGGCUCAACCGGGGAGGGUCAUUGGAAACUGGGAGACUUGAGUGCAGAAGAGGAGAGUGGAAUUCCAUGUGUAGCGGUGAAAUGCGUAGAUAUAUGGGGGAACACCAGUGGCGAAGGCGGCUCUCUGGUCUGUAACUGACGCUGAGGCUCGAAAGCGUGGGGAGCAAACAGG
RNAcentral lists this ribosomal RNA (429 nucleotides) under Gemmatimonadota bacterium. RNAcentral describes it as "Gemmatimonadetes bacterium partial 16S ribosomal RNA". It matches the Rfam family "Bacterial small subunit ribosomal RNA", at positions 355 to 776 of the family's 1533-position model. The record is from RNAcentral. Lineage: Bacteria; Pseudomonadati; Gemmatimonadota.